AUUUUCAUAUUUCAAGCUGGUGGUGGCAGAGCUGCCUCUAGCCGCAGCUCUAAGGUUGCAUCCAUCUUCCCAGCUCUGGCGUGCUGCGGUGCUGCUGUGUGCUGUUUUAGGAACUGGGACCACUGUGUCGCUCCAGAGGAGACAGCACGAGACUCAAGCAGGAAGGGGGCUGCCAGAAGAAGCCCCGUGGAGAUGCGGCAUCUGUUCCAUCUUUCUCUUUCUGCUCUUGUUUUAAUCCUUCAGCUGAAAAACUUGGGCAGUGAGAUGCAGAAUUUGGCUUGGUCUGUUACACUUCAGGCAGCCUGUAUGUUUUGUAGAUUUUACUUGACACCAGGCAGUAGUCAGAAAUUAGACAUUUUUAAGUAAUACAGGUAGUAUAAAGGCAGUAUUGUUAAUAUAUUAAAGUAUUUAAUGCAUUAAAAAUACU
Gallus gallus (chicken) is the source of this 427-nucleotide long non-coding RNA. The record is from Ensembl. NCBI's taxonomy places the organism in Eukaryota, Metazoa, Chordata, Aves, Galliformes, Phasianidae.